ACCGUUUGUAGAGCAUAAAGGUAUAAGAGGGCCUAACUGUGAGAUUAGUGUAUCGAGCAGAAACGAAAGUUGGUCUUAGUGAUCCGGCAGUGCUUAGAGGAAGGCCUGUCGCUCAACGGAUAAAAGUUACUCUAGGGAUAACAGGCUAAUCUCCUCCUAGAGUCCCUAUCGACGAGGAGGUUUGGCACCUCGAUGUCGGCUCGUCGCAUCCUGGGGCGGUAGUAGGUCCCAAGGGUUGGUCUGUUCGCCCAUGAAAGCGGCACGUGAGCUGGGUUCAGAACGUCGUGAGACAGUUCGGUCCGUAUCCAAUGUGAGCGUAAAUAAACAGAGAAGUAAUUUUUCUAGUACGAGAGGACCGAAAAAUGACUCUCCCUGGUGUACCAAUUAUUUUCAGAGUCUUUUGGUCACUCCAGAGAGGUAUUCGUUGGGUAGCUACAGAGUUCCUAAAUAACCGCUGAAAGCAUCUAAGUGGGAAGUUAGCUUUAAGACCAGUUUGUUGUAUUUUUGAUCUAAGGGCAAAGCAAGAACAGCUUAUAGAUAGUUAGCCUGUGUAAGUUUAGUAAUAAGUGUUAGCUAAGCUACCCUAACAGCAUCAAAUCUUAGAGAC
This 607-nucleotide ribosomal RNA is filed under the name Chromera velia. RNAcentral's name for it is "bacterial LSU rRNA". It matches the Rfam family "Bacterial large subunit ribosomal RNA", at positions 2337 to 2925 of the family's 2925-position model. The record is from RNAcentral. Lineage: Eukaryota; Chromeraceae.